Molecule: long non-coding RNA, 1927 nt
Filed under: Homo sapiens (human)
Lineage: Eukaryota; Metazoa; Chordata; Mammalia; Primates; Hominidae
Description: HSALNT0148787
Source: RNAcentral
AAAAAAAGCAGAAUUUUCCUAAUCCAUGAAAACUCAGAGGUUUUCCAUUUCGGGGUGUAAAAAGGCUUCCUGCCAGUGGCAAGGAGCUACUUUAUCACUGGCUGCCACUCAUCUUUGAGAAGGACAGCCCAAAAGAGCUGGCUUAGGCUUGCCAGAAACUCUCCCAGGCCACAUGGAAAGCCAGGUGACCCUGUAGUACCUGCCCAGUGUGACUCAAGCCCCGAGUAGAAGAAAAGCAAGUUCCAACCUGCAGGCCAAGCCUGGCAUGCAGUGGGGCUGUGCGCAGACUGCCAUCCUUGGCACCAAUGGUGCCAAAUUUCUUGCCAAAUGGGCUUGAGUUUCAACAUGUUGGGAGAGCACAGGAGCCUGUGAGCAUAACUUUGCUGUCAACCCUGAAGCAGGGCCAAAGAAGAUCCUAGAGAGUCCAGCAGUACAGCAGAUGGAAGGGACAGGCAUGGAUGUUGGGCUCCUGGGGAUUCAGCCCUCUUUGGGCAAAGCAGAACACCAUCUAACACCAGAGGACUAGACUGCGGCCGGAGCAUUGCCCGAGCCAUCCCAGGGGAUGGAGGGCCCCUGGGAAAUCCUUCAAAGGCAAGUGCAGCUGUUGCCAGCUCUGGGUUCUGUGGGGCCCAUAGGAUGACGUGGCCUGAGGCUUCAUCACUGGAGCCUGGGGCUUCAGCUUUCCAGAAAAGGACCCACACUGGGCUCAACCACCUGCCACAUUCUGGACCCUGUGCUGGCUCCUCUACCUGCAUGACUCCAGCAGGUUCCAGCAUUUCUACCUUUGAUGUUCCUGCUAACUGGGGCCCUCACUGAUGAGAUGCCGGGUGCAGCUUCCACUUGGGAACCUCUCUGACUCCACCAGGAUGAGAAACAAAGAGUUGGAGAGGAGAAUGGAGGCAGGUUUCCCCUCAGGCUCUGGCUGCUUCUCCUCCUGCAUCAGAAGAUCAAAGGGAGGGAAGAGUGAGGCCUCAGCGGGGGUGGGGGUGGGGGUGGGGGUGGGGUGGGGUGGGGUGGCCCUGCUCUGUGUGCUUCCCGGUAGGAGCCAAUUUCUUCCCUAAUUUAUUGACCACCCUGACUCUUUCCUCAUCUUUCUGAUUAAUAGUUUAGUUGGGGGUGCUAGGAAAUUUACCUCCAGUUGUUACCAUAGCAACCAGCUCUCUUGUACAGGAUCCCAUAGACAAUGCAUUUUGGGUCUUCGGCAGGAGCUGGGAUUUACGAGGAUCUCAGCAUGUACCAGGGCAGAAUGGGCAAGAUGAUGUUCCACUGAUAUGCUUAAGAAUUAUGCGUGGGGAUAGGAAAUGGUCUUGCCACACGGUAAAUUGGGAAGGAUGGUUUUAGUGCCUUUCCUUUCCUCUUGGCUUUGUCUCUCUCUUACAAGAGACCCCUCCCCCACAACAUUCUCUCUUAGGUCCUCGGAAAACUAGUUCCUCACAGGACAAAGGCAGGGCCAGUUUGGUGGAAGUCACGGGGAGGCUCAUUCCCUUUCAGCAAAAGGAAGAAUUUGUAGUGGGUAGAACCAGCUGAAGAUACAGUUGGCAGUCUUGGGAAGUAGUGAUCCCUGGAGGUGUGUGAACAGGGGCCUGUCAGGGGCUCUAGAAAAUAUUGUAUAGAGGACCGAGUGAGGGGUGGCAUGUGUGGAACCUCUGGGUCCUUUUCAUCCCUGGGAAGGGAGUUGCACUGUACCUGCUUGUGAGGCCAGCUCUCACCUCUCCCAACUAAGCAGAAUAUCAGAUUUGGACAUUUCAGUUCCCUGGGCCCCUGGGAUGUCUUUGGUGUCCUCAUAAACUCAAUACCCAGUACACUGCCUGGCCCUUGGGUGAAUGAAUAAAUUCCUUAGGCCUUUAUUAAGUGUGUGGACACAACUUACUAACUGUUUAUGUGUUCUUUUAUUAUGAUAAUAAAAAUAUACAUUUCAAAGCAUUGU